RNAcentral lists this ribosomal RNA (460 nucleotides) under uncultured bacterium. RNAcentral describes it as "partial 16S ribosomal RNA". It matches the Rfam family "Bacterial small subunit ribosomal RNA", at positions 338 to 795 of the family's 1533-position model. The record is from RNAcentral.
CCUACGGGAGGCAGCAGUGAGGAAUAUUGGUCAAUGGGCGGGAGCCUGAACCAGCCAAGUCGCGUGAGGGAAGACGGUCCUAUGGAUUGUAAACCUCUUUAGGCGGGGAGCAAUUCCGGGCACGCGUGCCCGGAGCGAGAGUACCCGCAGACUAAGCAUCGGCUAACUCCGUGCCAGCAGCCGCGGUAAUACGGAGGAUGCGAGCGUUAUCUGGAUUUAUUGGGUUUAAAGGGUGCGUAGGCGGAUUUUUAAGUCAGCGGUAAAAUGUCGGGGCUCAACCCGGGCCGGCCGUGGAACCUGGGGAGCGUGAGUGGGCGAGAGGUGUGCAGAAUGUGUGGUGUAGCGGUGAAAUGCAUAGAGAUCACGCAGAACUCCGAUUGCGAAGGCAGCAUACCGGAGCCCGACUGACGCUGAGGCGCGAAAGCGUGGGGAUCGAACAGGAUUAGAUACCCCUGUAGUC